Molecule: ribosomal RNA, 478 nt
Filed under: uncultured bacterium
Lineage: Bacteria
Description: partial 16S ribosomal RNA
Rfam family: Bacterial small subunit ribosomal RNA
Source: RNAcentral
GAUGAACGCUGGCGGCGUGCCUAACACAUGCAAGUCGAACGGAGUCCAGCCUUUAAGACCUUCGGGUCAAAGAGGGGAAGACUGAGUGGCGGACGGGCGAGUAACACGUGGGCAACCUGGCUCAUAGAGGGGGAUAACAGAGAGAAAUUUCUGCUAAUACCGCAUAAGCACACACUGCCGCAUGGCAGAGGGUGAAAAGAGAAUCGCUAUGAGAUGGACCCGCGUCUGAUUAGCCAGUUGGCAGGGUAAGAGCCUACCAAAGCGACGAUCAGUAGCCGAUCUGAGAGGAUGAACGGCCACAUUGGGACUGAGACACGGCCCAAACUCCUACGGGAGGCAGCAGUGGGGGAUAUUGCACAAUGGGGGGAACCCUGAUGCAGCGACGCCGCGUGAGUGAAGAAGUAUUUCGGUAUGUAAAGCUCUAUCAGCAGGGAAGAUAAUGACAGUACCUGAAUAAGAAGCCCCGGCUAACUACGUG